Molecule: ribosomal RNA, 484 nt
Filed under: uncultured Glomus
Lineage: Eukaryota; Fungi; Glomeromycota; Glomeromycetes; Glomerales; Glomeraceae
Description: SSU rRNA
Rfam family: Eukaryotic small subunit ribosomal RNA
Source: RNAcentral
AGCAGCCGCGGUAAUUCCAGCUCCAAUAGCGUAUAUUAAAGUUGUUGCAGUUAAAAAGCUCGUAGUUGAAUUUCGGGAUUAGUACGUUGGUCGUGCCUUCGGUACGUACUGGUGUUACUGAUUCCUACCUUCUGACGAACCAUCAUGUCAUUAAUUUGGUGUGGCGGGGAAUCAGGACUGUUACUUUGAAAAAUUAGAGUGUUUAAAGCAGGCUCGCGCUUGAAUACAUUAGCAUGGAAUAAUGAAAUAGGACGUUGACCCUAUUUUGUUGGUUUCUAGGAUUGACGUAAUGAUUAAUAGGGAUAGUUGGGGGCAUUAGUAUUCAAUUGUCAGAGGUGAAAUUCUUGGAUUUAUUGAAGACUAACUACUGCGAAAGCAUUUGCCAAGGAUGUUUUCAUUAAUCAAGAACGAAAGUUAGGGGAUCGAAGACGAUCAGAUACCGUCGUAGUCUUAACUAUAAACUAUGCCGACUAGGGAUCGGAUG